Molecule: ribosomal RNA, 502 nt
Filed under: uncultured Gammaproteobacteria bacterium
Lineage: Bacteria; Pseudomonadati; Pseudomonadota; Gammaproteobacteria
Description: bacterial SSU rRNA
Rfam family: Bacterial small subunit ribosomal RNA
Source: RNAcentral
AGGCUUUGAUCCUGGCUCAGAACGAACGCUGGCGGCGCGUUUUAAGCAUGCAAGUCGAACGGUAGAAGGGCUUCGGCUCUUUGAGAGUGGCGAACGGGUGAGUAACACGUAGGUGAUCUGCCUUAGUGUUGGGGAUAGUCUGUGGAAACAUGGGGUAAUACCGAAUAGGUUUCAUGUACUGUGGUACAAGAAGCAAAGGGGCUUCGGCCUCGCACUGGGAUGAGCCUGCGUCCGAUUAGCUAGUUGGUGGGGUAAUGGCCCACCAAGGCGACGAUCGGUAGCUGGUCUGAGAGGAUGAUCAGCCACACUGGGACUGAGACACGGCCCAGACUCCUACGGGAGGCAGCAGUGGGGAAUAUUGGACAAUGGGCGCAAGCCUGAUCCAGCAAUGCCGCGUGUGUGAAGAAGGCCUGCGGGUUGUAAAGCACUUUCAGUGGGGAGGAAAAGCGGGUGCCUAAUACGUGCCUGACUUGACGUUACCCUACAGAAGAAGCACCGGCUA